UACGUAGGGGGCAAGCGUUGUCCGGAAUCAUUGGGCGUAAAGCGCGUGUAGGCGGCUUUGCAAGUCGGGUGUGAAAGCCCUCAGCUCAACUGAGGAAGUGCGCCCGAAACUGCAGAGCUUGAGUGCCGGAGAGGGUGGCGGAAUUCCCCAAGUAGAGGUGAAAUUCGUAGAUAUGGGGAGGAACACCGGUGGCGAAGGCGGCCACCUGGACGGUAACUGACGCUGAGACGCGAAAGCGUGGGUAGCAAACAGG
Molecule: ribosomal RNA, 253 nt
Filed under: uncultured bacterium
Lineage: Bacteria
Description: partial 16S ribosomal RNA
Rfam family: Bacterial small subunit ribosomal RNA
Source: RNAcentral